GGACCCGCACAAGUAGUGGAGCAUGUGGUUUAAUUCGAAGAUACGCGCAGAACCUUACCAACACUUGACAUGUUCGUCGCGACUCUAAGAGAUUAGAGUUUUCGGUUCGGCCGGACGAAACACAGGUGCUGCAUGGCUGUCGUCAGCUCGUGUCGUGAGAUGUUGGGUUAAGUCCCGCAACGAGCGCAACCCACGUCUUUAGUUGCCAGCAUUUAGUUGGGCACUCUAGAGAGACUGCCGGUGAUAAGCUGGAGGAAGGUGGGGAUGACGUCAAGUCCUCAUGGCCCUUACGUGUUGGGCUACACACGUGCUACAAUGGUAUCUACAACAGGAAGCAAGACUGCGAAGUUAAGCAAAUCCUUAAAAGAUACCUCAGUUCGGAUUGCACUCUGCAACUCGAGUGCAUGAAGCUGGAAUUACUAGUAAUCG
RNAcentral lists this ribosomal RNA (429 nucleotides) under uncultured bacterium. RNAcentral describes it as "bacterial SSU rRNA". It matches the Rfam family "Bacterial small subunit ribosomal RNA", at positions 917 to 1344 of the family's 1533-position model. The record is from RNAcentral.